UCCAGACUCCUACGGGAGGCAGCAGUGGGGGAUAUUGCACAAUGGGGGAAACCCUGAUGCAGCGACGCCGCGUGAGUGAAGAAGUAUUUCGGUAUGUAAAGCUCUAUCAGCAGGGAAGAAGAUGACAGUACCUGAGUAAGAAGCCCCGGCUAACUACGUGCCAGCAGCCGCGGCAAUACGUAGGGGGCAAGCGUUAUCCGGAUUUACUGGGUGUAAAGGGAGCGUAGACGGUUAUGUAAGUCUGGAGUGAAAGCCCGGGGCCCAACCCCGGGACUGCUUUGGAAACUGUGUAACUAGAGUACAGGAGGGGCAGGCGGAAUUCCUGGUGUAGCGGUGAAAUGCGUAGAUAUCAGGAGGAACACCGGCGGCGAAGGCGGCCUGCUGGACUGAAACUGACGUUGAGGCUCGAAAGCGUGGGGAGCAAACAGGAUUAGAUACCCGUGUAAU
RNAcentral lists this ribosomal RNA (447 nucleotides) under uncultured bacterium. RNAcentral's name for it is "bacterial SSU rRNA". It matches the Rfam family "Bacterial small subunit ribosomal RNA", at positions 330 to 794 of the family's 1533-position model. The record is from RNAcentral.